This 253-nucleotide ribosomal RNA is filed under the name uncultured bacterium. RNAcentral's name for it is "partial 16S ribosomal RNA". It matches the Rfam family "Bacterial small subunit ribosomal RNA", at positions 524 to 776 of the family's 1533-position model. The record is from RNAcentral.
UACAGAGGUCUCGAGCGUUGUUCGGAUUCAUUGGGCGUAAAGGGUGUGUAGGUGGCGCCGUAAGUCGGGUGUGAAAUUUCGGAGCUUAACUCCGAAACUGCAUUCGAUACUGCGGUGCUUGAGGACUGGAGAGGAGACUGGAAUUCAUGGUGUAGCAGUGAAAUGCGUAGAGAUCAUGAGGAAGACCAGUGGCGAAGGCGGGUCUCUGGACAGUUCCUGACACUGAGACACGAAGGCCAGGGGAGCAAACGGG